UCUGUGGACAAAAACACAUGGUUCGUCACAUGAGGGAAAUAAACGUAAAUGUUCUUAUUUCAUGUUUUAAAACACGAAACAGCAGUCGCUGUGGCAACGUAAAGAAAAAGUAUUAUUGUAAGUACUGUGAUAUUUUCUAAGUGGAUCAAUACAAAACAUAACAUUUUGUUUUGUUUAAUUAUCUUAGCGGUUUGAUUUGAGUCCAACAGAUUAUUCAACAAUAUUUCUGUAAAAUCAAUGACCUCUAGAGUUUCCAACCUUGAACCUGUAACUAAAGAUAACAAAUUUUUGUUUUUGAAAAUAUCCACUCACAACCAUGGCAUUUCAAAUCGUCAGAUAUUUAAUUACAAGUAAACAUGUUAGGAAAAUAAAUUCUUGAACAAGCAGCUGCAAUAUAGUAGCUACUUGAAUAAGCAGAAGCCAUCUACCAAGUAAGACGAGAGGUGUUUUUUUUAUUAAGAAAGAAAAAUGUCCCAUUCAUUUAAAAUGAGGGGGCGGGACUUAAAAACGUUUUCAGGAACCAGCCACUAGAGGGAGCUUUAACUUCUGUGUUUAAAUCAUAGACUGUACAUAUACUGGACAAUUCGAUUCCAUAGGCUUCAAUAACGCGUUAUCUGUCCAUAAUGGGAGGUGUCCACCACCGCCAUUUUGACCGUGUCACAGGUUCCGUCCAGCCCAGACAAUUCCAUAAAAGGGAAGAGAGGAGGCGCUGAGGGUGUGGCUGUAAGGCUGGGCUCGAGUGACGACACCCAGGCGAACUAGCUACGAGCUAACCUGAAGCUAACCCUGGCUAACCCAAAGCUAAAGCGGAGGUGGGAGCCGAGCUAACGGAUGUAGCCACCUAGCUUCAACCCAACCGGAGCUAACUGGAACACCCAUCGACCUGAACCUCACACGGAGUUUAGGUGGAGGUUUUCUGCGCCUGUUCGUGAGAAGUACCUGUAUUAAAAAAGUUUUAAAUCGCCAUUUGGAUCAUUGGAGACAGCUGAGUGAGGCGUGGUGCCCAGAGAGCUGCAGAGACAACCUUGGCCUCCCUGACGUCUGUGUCUCCUGGUUCGGUUGGGGCGGACCAUCGACAUACAUACAUGUGCCGACACUGUGCCCUGUUUUAUAAAAUGUAGUGUUAAAAAUAAAUGUUUUUGCUCAAUUACUGGAAUUUCUUUGGUUAAGACAAAAGUGAGGAAUAAUCAUUUACAAGUUAUUUGUACAACAGGCCCAUUUUAAAUCCCAACAGUUUCUUAGCAGACAAUAGAAAUGUGUUCUUUACUAACUUUACUUGGUUUGAAAAUCUUACUAAAAUAAACUUGAGUGCCGUAUUGCAAAACCCAAUCAUACUUGUUAUGUAAACAUUAGCUUUGAAGAUAUUUUUUACAGAUAUAUAUUUGUGUGCAACAAAAACCAAACUUAAAUAAUUUGUCAUUCUUUAUUGAAAAACAACAAAAUACAGGUAUACAGAAGUGUGGGAAAAUGAUAAUGUGAAAGUAUUGCACUAUAAAUGAAGUGAGAUGAGAUGAAGGUGAGAUGAAGGUGGACGCCAGCGGGCUGGACGCCGGACGAAGAAACCUGGAGACGGAUCGCUCAGACAGGAAGGGAAGAGCUUCCUCUUACCUUGAUGGAAUUAAAGUUAGCCGUCGUCUGAACGCCCAACCGUACGGUCUGAGGUCAAAGGUCACAGGAAACACACACCAGUCAGCAGUCAUACAGAUGCAUAAAGAUAACUGUAGCCAUGGCAACCAGCUGACAUGUCCCCACUUUCACCAGCACCUGGUGCCUGCUGGGUCACCUGAAUUCCUGUGUGAUGUCAGCACGGUCGGCCGUGACUGCUGCCAUCAGAGGUGACCUCUGAUCAGCUGAAUGAACUCACCUUCCAGGGUGACGCCGUGUUAAGAGUCGGCUUCGUCCUGUAAACAAACAAACAAACAAACAAAUGAGUGGUAACAUAAACACCACGUCUGGUUCUGGUUGAGGCGGAGGACAACAUGCACCUUUCCAGGAGCAGAACCCAGAUGUUCUUGUUGCUACAAACAGAGACGAGCAGAGUUAACAAACCAGGAAGUGAGAGGGACCAGCUGCUGCAGACAGGUGACGCUCACCUGAGCCUGAACCAUAGGAGCCUCCUCAGCCAUCAGACCUUCUGACUCCAGUUCAGAUGCCACCUUGUUGAUGUCCCUCAGGCGGGACUCGUUGGCCUUCAGGUCCUGCAGGACAAAAGCACCUGCUGAUUAUCUUGUUGCUGUCGGGUUAACAGGUCUGGUGUUAGAACGUGGUGGAUAAGAAUGUUCUGACGGGCCGAGGGCUCUGAACUCACCCUGCAGGACUGGGCCUGCUCCUUCAGGGCCUGGAUGCUGCUGCCAUAAGCCGACAGGUCCGACAUCAGGGCCUCGUGCUUCUUCAGGAGAGCCUGUGGAGCAGAACAUCAGAACCUUCAGCUCGUCUGACACAAGUGGAGCUUUCUCGCAGCGAUGGUCCAAUCGGAUCCGCCACUGUAAAACAAACCCUGCUCAGUUCACCGCAGACGCAGCUCUGCGGGUGUUUAGUGGAAAAGCGUGAGCCUUCUGCCGGCUGCCACGUGUCAUGGCUGCUCUGCAGCGGGAACACACAUCACAGCUUGUAAACCGUUUGAAAUAAGAGCGCCGGGAACACGUUUGUCAUCACUUCCUGUGCGAGGCCAGCACUUCUACCCCUAACCCAUGAGACGCUCAAACGAGCAACGAUGUCUGGUAGACAACCGAAGGAAAUGACAAAUACAGAAACACUAAUUAUGAAGGACUGGAAAGAGAGCAAAGAAAAGCGAUUGGAGUUUCUCAGGAAGGGACUUCCAUACCUCGGCCAAGUCCUCGUCUUUCCCUUAGUCUGGACUUCCAACGAUGGGCUCCUUCUCCCUCAUCCAGGACUCGGCCUCAUUAGCAUCCGCAAAUUACUGCUGGGCCUGCAGAGAGUCCUCCAGGUCCUGCCUCCUCUGGGACGCCUUGGCCUUUAGCGUGUCCCAACGUCCAUGAAGCUCUGACAGCUUAGUCUUCACCUCCUCACCAGCGAAGUGACCUGGACCCAAAAAAAGUGAGCCAGAACCUGCAGACACCUCAGAAACAUGUCAGGACCAGACCUGCUCUACCUUCCUCCACCAUGGUCUCUCCUUUCUGGGUGACAGCCUUGAUGCGAGGUUCAUGACCUGUGAUCUCAGCCUGCAGAGCCUGGUGCUUCUUCAACAGGUUCUGGACACCAAUCAGGUCCUUCCC
This is a non-coding RNA of Nothobranchius furzeri (turquoise killifish), 3236 nucleotides long. NCBI's taxonomy places the organism in Eukaryota, Metazoa, Chordata, Actinopteri, Cyprinodontiformes, Nothobranchiidae. The record is from RefSeq and is a predicted model, not a curated record.